UAAGCAGAUAGUGAAAUUGUGUGGCUCAACCAUACACCCAUUAUCUGAACUGCUAAGCUAGAGUAUAUGAGAGGUAGCUGGAAUUCCUAGUGUAGGAGUGAAAUCCGUAGAUAUUAGGAGGAACACCGAUGGCGUAGGCAGGCUACUGGCAUAUUACUGACACUAAGGCACGAAAGCGUGGGGAGCGAACGGGAUUAGAUACCCGGUAGUCCACGCCGUAAACGAUGGAUGCUA
This 234-nucleotide ribosomal RNA is filed under the name uncultured Candidatus Saccharibacteria bacterium. Its description in RNAcentral is "partial 16S ribosomal RNA". It matches the Rfam family "Bacterial small subunit ribosomal RNA", at positions 584 to 818 of the family's 1533-position model. The record is from RNAcentral. Lineage: Bacteria; Candidatus Saccharimonadota.